UCAGUCGACUCCUACGGGGAGGCAGCAGUGGGGGAAUAUUGCACAAUGGGCGCAAGCCUGAUGCAGCCAUGCCGCGUGUAUGAAGAAGGCCUUCGGGUUGUAAAGUACUUUCAGCAGUGAGGAAGGUGGGGUAUGGUUAAUAGCAUAUUCAUUUGACGUUAGCUGCAGAAGAAGCACCGGCUAACUCCGUGCCAGCAGCCGCGGUAAUACGGAGGGUGCGAGCGUUAAUCGGAAUUACUGGGCGUAAAGCGCAUGCAGGUGGUUUGUUAAGUCAGAUGUGAAAGCCCGGGGCGUCAACCUCGGAAUUGCAUUUGAAACUGGCAAACUAGAGUACUGUAGAGGGGGGUAGGAAUUUCAGGUGUAGCGGUGAAAUGCGUAGAGAUCUGAAGGAAUACCGGUGGCGAAGGCGGCCCCCUGGACAGAUACUGACACUCAGAUGCGAAAGCGUGGGGAGCAAACAGGAUUAGAUACCCUGGUAG
Molecule: ribosomal RNA, 479 nt
Filed under: uncultured bacterium
Lineage: Bacteria
Description: bacterial SSU rRNA
Rfam family: Bacterial small subunit ribosomal RNA
Source: RNAcentral